RNAcentral lists this ribosomal RNA (727 nucleotides) under Bordetella sp. Ds-4. RNAcentral's name for it is "bacterial SSU rRNA". It matches the Rfam family "Bacterial small subunit ribosomal RNA", at positions 725 to 1457 of the family's 1533-position model. The record is from RNAcentral. Lineage: Bacteria; Pseudomonadati; Pseudomonadota; Betaproteobacteria; Burkholderiales; Alcaligenaceae.
CCUCCUGGGAUAACACUGACGCUCAUGCACGAAAGCGUGGCGAGCAAACAGGAUUAGAUACCUUGGUAGUCCACGCCCUAAACGAUGUCAACUAGCUGUUGGGGCCUUCGGGCCUUGGUAGCGCAGCUAACGCGUGAAGUUGACCGCCUGGGGAGUACGGUCGCAAGAUUAAAACUCAAAGGAAUUGACGGGGACCCGCACAAGCGGUGGAUGAUGUGGAUUAAUUCGAUGCAACGCGAAAAACCUUACCUACCCUUGACAUGUCUGGAAUUACGAAGAGAUUUGGAAGUGCUCGCAAGAGAACCGGAACACAGGUGCUGCAUGGCUGUCGUCAGCUCGUGUCGUGAGAUGUUGGGUUAAGUCCCGCAACGAGCGCAACCCUUGUCAUUAGUUGCUACGAAAGGGCACUCUAAUGAGACUGCCGGUGACAAACCGGAGGAAGGUGGGGAUGACGUCAAGUCCUCAUGGCCCUUAUGGGUAGGGCUUCACACGUCAUACAAUGGUCGGGACAGAGGGUCGCCAACCCGCGAGGGGGAGCCAAUCCCAGAAACCCGAUCGUAGUCCGGAUCGCAGUCUGCAACUCGACUGCGUGAAGUCGGAAUCGCUAGUAAUCGCGGAUCAGCAUGUCGCGGUGAAUACGUUCCCGGGUCUUGUACACACCGCCCGUCACACCAUGGGAGUGGGUUUCACCAGAAGUAGUUAGCCUAACCGCAAGGAGGGCGAUACC